Molecule: non-coding RNA, 632 nt
Organism: Ciona intestinalis (vase tunicate)
Lineage: Eukaryota; Metazoa; Chordata; Ascidiacea; Phlebobranchia; Cionidae
Source: RefSeq, a predicted model, not a curated record
GUAACAAACCCUGGAUUGGCAAACACAAGGAGACACCUCACGUUCGUUGCAAAUUCGGCAGAUGAACAAUUUGUUGUAAAGCAUCAGCAAAUAUAGUGGAUAUCAUGGAAAGGUUGGUAAAAGCCUUCAGGAGAUGGAAUGCCAUGGGAUGGAUGGUGAAUGUUUACAGAUGGGUGUGGGGUUGGUUUAGAGGAAAUAACAAUGCACUCACGGAUCAAACAACAGAUGAAAGAGAUCGACCAGUGAUAAUAACCCAAAUGAUGUUUACUUCUACAACCAACCCCCACCAACCAAUGUUGAUGUUCAAACACUUGGUGAGUUUUAGAAUAAGAACAUAACUCAUGUAACUGUCCUGUUAUUGUUUCAAUAUAAAGAAUAAACUUGAUGGACAUGUCACAUGCGUCUGUCACUGGCGUCGAUUUAUAUCAGUGGUUCUUAAACUGGGGGGCGCGCCCCCCUAGUGGGGCGUGUAACACUUGGAAGGGGGGCGCGAUAAAGUAUAAAAUAAAGUGUUAUAUCUCUUAUUACAGUGGUGUUCAAAAGGCUUAAACACGACGCACGCAAAAGUUAAAUUAAAAUAGCAAACCUUUAAGUCUGAAUUGCUAUUAUGUCUUAAUUAAUUGCCAGACAAA